This 229-nucleotide ribosomal RNA is filed under the name uncultured bacterium. Its description in RNAcentral is "partial 16S ribosomal RNA". It matches the Rfam family "Bacterial small subunit ribosomal RNA", at positions 568 to 796 of the family's 1533-position model. The record is from RNAcentral.
UGCGUAGGCGGAUUGAUAAGUCAGUGGUGAAAACCUUCAGCUUAACUGGAGACUUGCCAUUGAUACUGUUAGUCUUGAGUACGGUCAAGGUAGGCGGAAUGUGUAAUGUAGCGGUGAAAUGCUUAGAUAUUACACAGAACACCGAUCGCGAAGGCAGCUUACUGGGCCAUUACUGACGCUGAGGCACGAAAGCGUGGGGAGCGAACAGGAUUAGAUACCCUGGUAGUCC